CUUCUUUAUGAUCGAUGUUUGACUUAGGGAUUGCUUAUGGAAAUUGAAGAGAUCUUUUGAUCCUCCCUCGUUCAUCUCAUAUGCCAUGUAUUAGAGGCCUUUUACCUUGAUUUUAUUUGGUCCUUACCUCAUUUCCUGAUUAAAUUAUUCAGUGGACCCUUCGUGUGCAUAUUUUCAUCUGUUUGAUUCAUCUGUUAUCUUUUAUACUUGUUUCUC
RNAcentral lists this long non-coding RNA (216 nucleotides) under Lathyrus oleraceus (garden pea). RNAcentral describes it as "Pisum sativum (pea) long non-coding RNA (PSAT_LNC039202)". Lineage: Eukaryota; Viridiplantae; Streptophyta; Magnoliopsida; Fabales; Fabaceae. The record is from RNAcentral.